RNAcentral lists this ribosomal RNA (1262 nucleotides) under metagenome. Its description in RNAcentral is "bacterial LSU rRNA". It matches the Rfam family "Bacterial large subunit ribosomal RNA", at positions 1644 to 2925 of the family's 2925-position model. The record is from RNAcentral.
GUACCAUAACCGACACAGGUGGGUAAGUAGAGUAUACUAAGGGGCGCGAGAUAACUCUCUCUAAGGAACUCGGCAAAAUAACUCCGUAACUUCGGGAGAAGGAGUGCCUUAUUCUUAAGGUUGCAAUAACAAGAUCCAAGCAACUGUUUAUCAAAAACACAGGUCUCCGCUAAGUCGUAAGACGAUGUAUGGGGGCUGACGCCUGCCCAGUGCCAGAAGGUUAAAGAAGUCGGUUAGCAAUAGCAAAGCUGGUAACUGAAGCCCUGGUGAACGGCGGCCGUAACUAUAACGGUCCUAAGGUAGCGAAAUUCCUUGUCGGGUAAGUUCCGACCCGCACGAAAGGCGUAAUGAUUUGGAUGCUGUCUCGGAGAGGGGCUCGGUGAAAUAGACUUGUCUGUGAAGAUGCGGACUACCUGCACCAGGACAGAAAGACCCUAUGAAGCUUUACUGUAACUUGAAAUUGAAAUUGGACUUUAUUCGCGCAGUAUAGGUGGGAGGCGUUGAUUAUAAUCUUGUGGGAUUAUUGGAGCCAUCAGUGAGAUACCACUCUUGUAAUGUUAGAUUUCUAACUUUGAAUCAUUAUCUGGUCAAAGGACAGUUUCAGGCGGGCAGUUUGACUGGGGCGGUCGCCUCCUAAACGGUAACGGAGGCGUACAAAGGUUUCCUCUGAACGGUAGAAAUCGUAUCUAGAGUGUAAAGGCAUAAGGAAGCUUGACUGUGAGACCUACAAGUCGAGCAGGGACGAAAGUCGGUCUUAGUGAUCUGACGGUACUGAGUGGAAAGGCCGUCACUCAACGGAUAAAAGUUACUCUAGGAUAACAGGCUGGUCUCCCCCAAGAGUUCACAUCGACGGGGAGGUUUGGCACCUCGAUGUCGGCUCAUCGCAUCCUGGGGCGGUAGUACGUCCCAAGGGUUGGGCUGUUCGCCCAUGAAAGCGGUACGCGAGCUGGGUUCAGAACGUCGUGAGACAGUUCGGUCCAUAUCCGGUGUAGGCGCUAGAAUAUUGAGAGGAGCCUUCUUUAGUACGAGAGGACCGAGAAGGACAUACCUCUGGUGUACCAGUUAUCGUGCCAACGGUAAACGCUGGGUAGCUAUGUAUGGAGUGGAUAACCGCUGAAAGCAUUUAAGUGGGAAGCCCACCUCAAGAUAAGUAUUCUCAUCACGUAAGUGAGUAAGGUCACGGUAAGACUAACCGUUUGAUAGGCAUUAAGUGUAAGUACAGUAAUGUAUGUGCUGAGAUGUCCUAAUAGACCGAGGACUUG